GGCUCCGUAGCUUAGCUCGGUAGAGCGAUUGAUUCGUAAAAUUCUUCCCGAAUCGGGAGAUCUGUAAGAUCAAUAGGUCGGGGGUUCAAGUCCCCCUGGAGCCU
This 104-nucleotide transfer RNA is filed under the name Promethearchaeota archaeon CR_4. RNAcentral's name for it is "Candidatus Lokiarchaeota archaeon CR_4 tRNA-Thr". It matches the Rfam family "tRNA". From Rfam's summary of the family: Transfer RNA (tRNA) molecules are approximately 80 nucleotides in length. Their secondary structure includes four short double-helical elements and three loops (D, anti-codon, and T loops). Lineage: Archaea; Promethearchaeati; Promethearchaeota. The record is from RNAcentral.